AUAUAUAUAGAGACAGAGAUAAUGGAUCAUUUGCUUACUGGCUAGAUAAUAAGUUGUUUAAUAGAGAGAGAGGGAGUCCGCCUAUUAUACUAUUGAUAGUAUCAGAGUUAGGUACUAUCGAUGGAGUUUUUCACUAUUAGAUUUAUCUUUUUGAUCAUUUUCAUUUGUUAAAUUAUACUAUUCAACCAACCGUCUACUCUCAACCCUAGGAGACCAUCGCUACAAUAGAAUUAUAUUAUAGGAAUAUAUUUUUGGGACACUUUUAUAUAAGUGUGGACACUUUUAUAUAAGUGUCCUAUUUAUGCCAAUAAAUUUUUAAAAAUCUACUAAAAUCUAAAUAUAAAGUUCAAUCCAAUCAAAAAUAAAAAGUUUCUCUACUCAGCCAACCACACCCAGCCCACUCAGCCCGAUUACAAAUAAAAAAGAAAAGAAAAAAGAAAGAUCGAUCAUUAUCUCUCCUUCUCCUCCUCCGCCGCCGCAGCUGACGAGAUAGGUUUAUGGCGGCUGGAGUUUAGCUGCGAGGAUCUCGCAGGGACCGUAAAGUGCUACAAUUACCACGUAUCUCUCCGCCACAUGUCGUUGGAGGAGUGUGUGCCAAAUAUUAAGGCGGACCUAUCUAUAGCAACCUCAUAUAUAGCAAUACUUUUAAAAAGUGUCGGUAAGUUAGCUAGCAGCACUUUUUUUUGACCUGUACCGACAUUUAAAAGUGUCGUUAUAUACCGUUUUUGUUGUAUCGACAUUUUAUUUAAUUGUAAUUAUUUAAUUUUUUAGGAAAAAAUUAAAAGAAUAUAUAUAUAAACAUUAUAAAUUAUUUAUUAUUUAGAGUUACUAUUUAAGAGCUGAGAAACUCGAACCCUCAUUAUCAAAAAAAAAUUUUAAAAAAAAGUUUCUCGGGUAAUAUUAAUUAUCAGUUAAUCUCUAGUAGAGUUAAAGACUACUUUUUUUAAAAAAAAAAAUUUAUGUUAGAAAUAUAACUUAUCAAAAUAAAUAAUUGCGGCGCAUUAAUUGUACGGAUACACCUGGUGCAGGGAAUAACUUCGCCUCCCAUCAUUCCACCAAAAAUGGGUACGAUUGAGACAUAAUCACGUGGCUCCAUGGACCGCGGAUUCCCCUCGUUCUUAUCCACACCACAAACCCAGUUUUUUUCUUUUUUUUUUCCAUCGUUCGUUUGGUGGGAAACAGCGACGGGACGUUGCUUGGAUGCGUGACACGUGUAAUCUCCAGUGGAGUGGAUGUACUACAGUUGUGGUCGUAAAUUGCUUGGUGUUGCAAAAAGCACUUCGUAAUUAAUGAAGCAAACGUCAAAAAUAAGCUAAAAUGUUUACAAUGAUUGAAGUAGGGCUCAAUUUCAUAUAGGUCCAAACAAAUAUAGUAAAUUACAAACAUCUCCCUAUAAAGUUUAACUUUUAUGUGUUGUUUUUAUAAAAAUCUUAAUAUUUUCAAAUAUGUCUCCGUGAUUUGUUAUCGUUAAAACACUGUUUAUUUUAUAAGUAAAAUGACUUUUUUGCCAUCACAAAUAUGUUCCUUCAAAAAUCCCAACAUUAAUUGAAAAGAGGUUAAAGGUCAAUUCAUCUCAUUAAUUAACUAGGGUUAAGUAUUUUACCUAUGGUUAAUUAAUUUUUUCUAACGGAUUCUAACGGUAGGGGUAUAUUUGAAAAUAUUGAGAUUUUUACAAGAACAACAUAUAAGAGUUGAAUUUUGUAAGAAUAUUUUUAUAAUUUAUUAUUGUUGUAGAGACUUGUAUGCAAUUAAUCCUUUUAAUAAUUAAAUUUUAGAUUUUUUUUCCGUUGUUUAUUUGUAUAAUAAUUAUGAAACUAUAUAGUUUCUUCAAUUUUAAGUGAAUAAUGUAAAAACUGUCCAUCAUUAAAAAUCUAAUUUAAAUUCAUUUUGAUUAAUUAUUAUAAUAAAAUCAAGUAUUGUUUGAACAUUUGUAUUGAAUUGGUGUCUAC
This 1949-nucleotide long non-coding RNA is filed under the name Ananas comosus (pineapple). RNAcentral describes it as "long non-coding RNA (ACOM_LNC036263)". The record is from RNAcentral. Lineage: Eukaryota; Viridiplantae; Streptophyta; Magnoliopsida; Poales; Bromeliaceae.